Molecule: small nuclear RNA, 180 nt
Filed under: Carlito syrichta (Philippine tarsier)
Lineage: Eukaryota; Metazoa; Chordata; Mammalia; Primates; Tarsiidae
Description: U2 spliceosomal RNA (ENSTSYG00000019812.2)
Rfam family: U2 spliceosomal RNA
About the family: U2 is a small nuclear RNA (snRNA) component of the spliceosome (involved in pre-mRNA splicing). Complementary binding between U2 snRNA (in an area lying towards the 5' end but 3' to hairpin I) and the branchpoint sequence (BPS) of the intron results the bulging out of an unpaired adenosine, on the BPS, which initiates a nucleophilic attack at the intronic 5' splice site, thus starting the first of two transesterification reactions that mediate splicing.
Source: Rfam by way of RNAcentral
GUGAUUGUCUUGGCUAAGAUCAAGUGUAGUAUCUGUUCUUAUCAGUUUAAUAUCUGAUACGUCCUCUAUCUGAGGACAAUGUAUUAAGUGGAUUUUUGGAGCCAGGAGGUGGAACAGGAGCUUGCUCCAUUCACUCCAUGCAAAAAAAAAAAAGAAAUACGAUUGUCUUUUGCACAUUUA